AUUGAACGCUGGCGGCAUGCUUUACACAUGCAAGUCGAACGGUAACAGGUUAAGCUGACGAGUGGCGAACGGGUGAGUAAUGCAUCGGAACGUGCCCGGUCGUGGGGGAUAACGCAGCGAAAGCUGCGCUAAUACCGCAUACGAUCUGAGGAUGAAAGCGGGGGACCGUAAGGCCUCGCGCGAUCGGAGCGGCCGAUGUCAGAUUAGGUAGUUGGUGGGGUAAAGGCUCACCAAGCCGACGAUCUGUAGAUGGUCUGAGAGGACGACCCGCCACACUGGGACUGAGACACGGCCCAGACUCCUACGGGAGGCAGCAGUGGGGAAUGUUGGACAAGGGGCGCAAGCCUGAUCCAGCAAUGCCGCGUGCAGGAAGAAGGCCUUCGGGUUGUAAACUGCUUUUGUACGGAGCGAAAGGGCUCUCUCUAAUACAGGGGGCUCAUGACGGUACCGUAAGAAUAAGCACCGGCUAACUACGUGCCAGCCGCCGCGGUAA
Molecule: ribosomal RNA, 493 nt
Filed under: uncultured bacterium
Lineage: Bacteria
Description: partial 16S ribosomal RNA
Rfam family: Bacterial small subunit ribosomal RNA
Source: RNAcentral